UGGGGAAUAUUGGACAAUGGGCGAAAGCCUGAUCCAGCCAUGCCGCGUGUGUGAAGAAGGUCUUCGGAUUGUAAAGCACUUUAAGUUGGGAGGAAGGGUUGUAGAUUAAUACUCUGCAAUUUUGACGUUACCGACAGAAUAAGCACCGGCUAACUCUGUGCCAGCAGCCGCGGUAAUACAGAGGGUGCAAGCGUUAAUCGGAAUUACUGGGCGUAAAGCGCGCGUAGGUGGUUAGUUAAGUUGGAUGUGAAAUCCCCGGGCUCAACCUGGGAACUGCAUUCAAAACUGACUGACUAGAGUAUGGUAGAGGGUGGUGGAAUUUCCUGUGUAGCGGUGAAAUGCGUAGAUAUAGGAAGGAA
Molecule: ribosomal RNA, 359 nt
Filed under: uncultured bacterium
Lineage: Bacteria
Description: partial 16S ribosomal RNA
Rfam family: Bacterial small subunit ribosomal RNA
Source: RNAcentral